CCUACGGGUGGCAGCAGUGAGGAAUAUUGGUCAAUGGACGAGAGUCUGAACCAGCCAAGUAGCGUGAAGGAUGACUGCCCUAUGGGUUGUAAACUUCUUUUAUAUGGGAAUAAAACGUUCCACGUGUGGGAUUUUGUAUGUACCAUAUGAAUAAGGAUCGGCUCACUCCGUGCCAGCAGCCGCGGUAAUACGGAGGAUCCGAUCGUUAUCCGGAUUUAUUGGGUUUAAAGGGAGCGUAGGUGGAUUGUUAAGUCAGUUGUGAAAGUUUGCGGCUCAACCGUAAAAUUGCAGUUGAAACUGGCAGUCUUGAGUACAGUAGAGGUAGGCGGAAUUCGUGGUGUAGCGGUGAAAUGCUUAGAGAUCACGAAGAACUCCGAUUGAGAAGGCAGUUCACUGGACUGCAACUGACACUGAGGCUCGAAAGUGUGGGUAUCAAACAGGAUUAGAUACCCCUGUAGUC
Molecule: ribosomal RNA, 460 nt
Filed under: uncultured bacterium
Lineage: Bacteria
Description: partial 16S ribosomal RNA
Rfam family: Bacterial small subunit ribosomal RNA
Source: RNAcentral